RNAcentral lists this transfer RNA (69 nucleotides) under Deporaus marginatus. RNAcentral describes it as "tRNA-Gln". It matches the Rfam family "tRNA". From Rfam's summary of the family: Transfer RNA (tRNA) molecules are approximately 80 nucleotides in length. Their secondary structure includes four short double-helical elements and three loops (D, anti-codon, and T loops). The record is from RNAcentral. Lineage: Eukaryota; Metazoa; Arthropoda; Insecta; Coleoptera; Attelabidae.
UAUAUUUUAGUAUAAGAUGUACAAAAGUUUUUGAUACUUUAGGAGACAGUUAAAUUCUGUUAAAUAUAA